This is a long non-coding RNA of Priapulus caudatus, 319 nucleotides long. RefSeq lists it as uncharacterized. The record is from RefSeq and is a predicted model, not a curated record. Lineage: Eukaryota; Metazoa; Priapulida; Priapulimorpha; Priapulimorphida; Priapulidae. The transcript is spliced from 3 exons.
UGUAGAGGUUACUAGUGAGAAGUACAUGUAGAGGUUACUAGUGAGAGAAGUACAUGUAGAGGUUACUAGUGAGAGAAGUACAUGUAGAGGUUACUAGUGACUAGCGAGAGAAGUACAUGUAGAGGUUACUAGUGAGAGAAGUACAUGUAGAGGUUACUAGUGAGAGAAGUACAUGUAGAGGUUACUAGUGAGAGAAGUACAUGUAGAGGUUACUAGUGAGAGAAGUACAUGUAGAGGUUACUAGUGAGAGAAGUACAUGUAGAGGUUACUAGUGAGAGAAGUACAUGUAGAGGUUACUAGUUACUAGUGAGAGAAGUAC